UGGACUUAAAUGUAGAGUGCAUUCAUUAGAAAUAGUGAUUUCCUUCGGGACUCUUUACAAGGUGCUGCAUGGUUGUCGUCAGCUCGUGCCGUGAGGUGUCGGGUUAAGUCCCAUAACGAGCGCAACCCCUAUCGUUAGUUGCUAGCAGGUAAUGCUGAGGACUCUAACGAAACUGCCGGUGUAAACCGAGAGGAAGGUGGGGAUGACGUCAAAUCAGCACGGCCCUUAUGUCCAGGGCUACACACGUGUUACAAUGGAUGGUACAAAGAGCUGCUACUAGGUGACUAGAUGCUAAUCUUCAAAGCCAUUCUCAGUUCGGAUCGGAGUCUGCAACUCGACUCCGUGAAGUUGGAUUCGCUAGUAAUCGUAGAUCAGCAAUGCUACGGUGAAUACGUUCCCGGGCCU
RNAcentral lists this ribosomal RNA (405 nucleotides) under uncultured bacterium. Its description in RNAcentral is "bacterial SSU rRNA". It matches the Rfam family "Bacterial small subunit ribosomal RNA", at positions 976 to 1381 of the family's 1533-position model. The record is from RNAcentral.